RNAcentral lists this small RNA (83 nucleotides) under Marmota monax (woodchuck). Lineage: Eukaryota; Metazoa; Chordata; Mammalia; Rodentia; Sciuridae. The record is from RNAcentral.
GCCGGGUGCAGUGGCGCACACCUGUAAUCCCAGUGGCUUGGGAGGCUGAAGCAGGAGGAUUUCGAGUUCAAAGCCAGCCUCAG